CGGAGGAUCCAAGCGUUGUCCGGAUUUAUUGGGUUUAAAGGGUGCGUAGGCGGAUAUGCAAGUCAGAGGUGAAAGCUAGCAGCUUAACUGUUAAAUUGCCUUUGAAACUGCAUAUCUUGAGUAUAGUUGAGGUGGGCGGAAUGUAUCAUGUAGCGGUGAAAUGCUUAGAUAUGACACAGAACUCCGAUUGCGAAGGCAGCUCACUAAGCUAUAACUGACGCUGAGGCACGAAAGCGUGGGUAGCGAACAGGAUUAGAUACCCUGGUAGUCCACGCCCUAAACUUUGCAUACUCGUUGUUGGCGAUACACUGUCAGCGACUAAGCGAAAGCGUUAAGUAUGCCACCUGGGGAGUACGACCGCAAGGUUG
Molecule: ribosomal RNA, 368 nt
Filed under: uncultured organism
Description: bacterial SSU rRNA
Rfam family: Bacterial small subunit ribosomal RNA
Source: RNAcentral